Non-coding RNA from Caenorhabditis elegans, 284 nucleotides. The record is from Ensembl. NCBI's taxonomy places the organism in Eukaryota, Metazoa, Nematoda, Chromadorea, Rhabditida, Rhabditidae.
AAAGUUGAAAAGAGUGGGUGAUACCUGGCGGCCGACAACCCACGGCUUCCGCGUCUUGUUAUAAGUAACGCUAGCAUGCCACGCCCUUCUAAAUACACACCAACUGAAUGGGCGGGGCAUGCUAAUGAUAUUUAUAACUAUAUACCGAGACGCGGAAGCCGUGGGUUGUCGGCCCCUAGGUAUUACCCACUCUUUUCAUUUUUGCGUUGUCCGGCAAAAGUGGACGGAGUAUUAUUUGAUUCCAGCAUCUCCCGAAUUUUUCAUCUCUCAAUUCGAGCCAAUUU